GUUGGGGCUGCAGCUCAGUGGUAGAGUGCCUACCUCACACGUGUGAGGCACUGGGUUCAAUCCUCAGCACAACA
Molecule: transfer RNA, 74 nt
Filed under: Marmota monax (woodchuck)
Lineage: Eukaryota; Metazoa; Chordata; Mammalia; Rodentia; Sciuridae
Description: tRNA.Val
Source: RNAcentral